This 72-nucleotide microRNA precursor is filed under the name Myotis brandtii (Brandt's bat). Its description in RNAcentral is "mir-9193 microRNA precursor family". It matches the Rfam family "mir-9193 microRNA precursor family". The record is from Rfam by way of RNAcentral. Lineage: Eukaryota; Metazoa; Chordata; Mammalia; Chiroptera; Vespertilionidae.
GGUGGGGGGGGCGUCUCUCAGCCUGGAUUGCAAGAGGGUGCAGGCCAGGCCAAGGGACCCCACUGGUGCACG